CUGGCGGCAGGCCUAACACAUGCAAGUCGAGCGGUAGCACAGAGAGCUUGCUCUCGGGUGACGAGCGGCGGACGGGUGAGUAAUGUCUGGGAAACUGCCUGAUGGAGGGGGAUAACUACUGGAAACGUAGCUAAUACCGCAUAACGUCGCAAGACCAAAGUGGGGGACCUUCGGGCCUCAUGCCAUCAGAUGUGCCCAGAUGGGAUUAGCUAGUAGGUGGGGUAACGGCUCACCUAGGCGACGAUCCCUAGCUGUCUGAGAGGAUGACCAGCCACACUGGAACUGAGACACGGUCCAGACUCCUACGGGAGGCAGCAGUGGGGAAUAUUGCACAAUGGGCGCAAGCCUGAUGCAGCCAUGCCGCGUGUAUGAAGAAGGCCUCGGGUUGUAAAGUACUUUCAGCGGGGAGGAAGGCGAUAAGGUUAAUAACCUUGUCGAUUGACGUUACCCGCAGAAGAAGCACCGGCUAACUCCGUGCCAGCAGCCGCGGUAAUACGGAGGGUGCAAGGUUAAUCGGAAUUACUGGGCGUAAAGCGCACGCAGGCGGUCUGUCAAGUCGGAUGUGAAAUCCCCGGGCUCAACCUGGGAACUGCAUUCGAAACUGGCAGGCUAGAGUCUUGUAGAGGGGGGUAGAAUCCAGGUGUAGCGGUGAAAUGCGUAGAGAUCUGGAGGAAUACCGGUGGCGAAGGCGGCCCCCUGGACAAAGACUG
This 710-nucleotide ribosomal RNA is filed under the name Klebsiella pneumoniae. Its description in RNAcentral is "bacterial SSU rRNA". It matches the Rfam family "Bacterial small subunit ribosomal RNA", at positions 36 to 742 of the family's 1533-position model. Lineage: Bacteria; Pseudomonadati; Pseudomonadota; Gammaproteobacteria; Enterobacterales; Enterobacteriaceae. The record is from RNAcentral.